GGGAAGCGGAGGGAUGAGGGCAGGCCCUCUGUCCUGGGUCACAUAUUUCAAGGAUGUUGUAAGAUUCGAGGCCAAAGCAACGAUUUCCAAUCAGAGGGGUCGUGCCCUCUGUCCCCGCCCUGCCGAAGCACUUAAAGUGACUGGUGACAACUGUUCCCUUGGGUCCCUGCAGGCUCUGAGCUUUGGAGGCCUCUUGACUGAGCAGGCUUCAGACACUGCGGACCGAAGGGGAGCCAGGGUCUGUGUCUCUGGGUGGAACACACCUAUUUGUUGUUGUUGCUGUUACUGAUUUGCCUGUUAACACAUUUUGGGUUUUUGUUUUCAUUGUUUCCUGAGGCACAGGUGGUAUACAAUCUUCUAUAAGUUCCAGGGGUACACUAUAGUGAUUCGGAGUCUUUAAAGGUCGAACUCCACUUCGAGUUAUUAUAAAACAUCAGGUAGACCCUUGCGGCCUCUGCUCCGAGGUGCCACACGUGGGUAGGAAGAUGCCCCCCCUUCCCCGCAGCCCCUUGGUCCAAACUCUCCCAGGACGGAACUGGCUCCAUUUCUUUGCCAAGCAUCCACCACCUGAAAUGCAGAGUCAUUGCCCGUCUCGCUCAGCACACAGGAAAUCAGAUGCGUCCCUGCUGAAAUGCCCUCCCUCCCUCCUCCCUCUCUCUGUCUCUCUCAAAAGCCUUUCUCUAAAGACGCCCACCUCUGAGCACUGACACAGUGGCCCCCCCUCCGCCCCCAGCCUCCGCUUCAGUUACCUGCAGGCAACCUUGUUUUGAAAAUACAAAGUGGAAAAUUCCAGAAAUAAACAAUUCAUAAGGUUGUUUGGAGGAGUUUUUUUGAUAAACAAUUCAUAAGGGUUUUUUUUUUUUUGGUUUGUUUUGUUUUGGAUUUAAUUAAAUUUUGAAUUGAAGUGGAGUCGGUUGACCAUGUUGUGUUAGUUUCGGGUACAUGGCACCGUGAUUCAGUUAUAUAUUUUUUCUAGAUUUGUUUCCCUUACAGGUUAUGAUAAAACGGGGAGCAUAUUUUCCUGAGCUGUGCAGAGGGGAGCUCGUUAUCUAGGUUAUGUCUGUUCAUCUCAAACUAAUUGAUCCUUCCCCAGCUUUUCGCUCCGGUAACCAUAAGUUUGUUUUCUGUGGCUGGGGGUCUACUUCUGCUUUGUCAAUAAGUUCAUUGCCUGCUGUGCUGAGGGCCGAGAUGAAAUUUUGCACCUUCCCACUCCAUCCUGCCCGGAUGUGAGUUGACCCUUUGAUGCUCUGCCCCCUGCCCCCUGGUCCAGGAAAAUCACGGUACCCGGAGGGCUCGCAGGGCUUGUGCCGUCAGCAUCCCUGGCGGGGGUGCUCUGGGAACGUGCCCCCGCAGACCCCUGCACACCCUCUCCAGGGAAGUACAUGUGAGGGAAAAACGUGUACUUCUGAAGUGCUUCUGCCUCUGGCCUUUUUUCCGUGGAAGCUAAAAAAUACAUCUGUGGGUUUUUUUCCAGGAAAUUAAAAAAAAAAAAAAUCUCUCCAUCUCUCUUUGUCUGUGUCUCUCUCAUACGCACACACGCAGAAAGUUCUAUUAGAUUUCAAACUGGACAAAAAUUACUUCCUUUAUUUAGAGAAGUAUCAUUUGUGAAAAAAAAAACCCAUGAUAUUUAAGCAUACAGAAAAGUGUGUGUGUGUAUCAGGGAAAACACUUCCUCUCUGAUUCUCCUUCUCAAGCUCGUCCUCACCAGGCAGAGAUGCUGGCUGCCUUGAGAAAAUACGUACCGGAGAGAAAAACACACACACACACACACACUCACUCGGCUGCAAGGCCUCACUCUGCCGCCCCAGAAAAGCCUGAUCUUCCCAGGAUGUUGUCUAAACACACACACACACACACACACACACACACACACGCACGGACUUGUAGCAGGAGGAACAUUGUGUGUUUCCACCCCCCCACCGCCCUCUCUGCACACCCACACUCAGGCAGAGGCGUGCCCCCCACUAAGUGUGCACCAUGUGAAAAAUCAACCCUCUUUCCUUCUCAUUCUCAGCCCACAAAGAUCUGUCUGCAGACAGAAUGACGUCUCCCCCUGAGAAGGCUUUUCUCCCCAGACUCUGUCCCGGGGGACAAAUGCCCCCCAAGGGAAGAGCACCUGGAGAAAACGCCCACUCUCACUCCCUCUCCGUGUCUGAGAAUUGCAUGUGCAUGUGUGCGUGCGUGCGUGCGUGUGCAAAGUCACUGUUUGUGGUCUGGCUUCUUGCAAACCCCAAAUAUGCAGCCUUUUCCAGACAGAAAAACUCUGUCUCUUUCUCUCUCCCUCUCUGUCUCUCUCUCUCUCCCUCUCGCUCUCUCUCUCUCUCACACACACAUGCAUGCACACACAUGUACACACACAUAGGAGAGCUCUCCUUUUCUCACUAAUGGGAUGGACCACCUGAAACACCAGCAUGUUAUAAUCACUGGCUCUUAGAAACCUCAUUCUCAGCAGAAGGUAUUGUUUUUGCCUCUCAAAAAUUCUCCCUCUAAAGAUCUGCCACCAGGCAGAAAUCACACACACACACACACACACACACACACACACACACACACACAGCAAGAAGAGAGCCGUGUGCGCGUGAGUGUGGUUAUAAGUAGAAAAAUCUCUCUGUGCUGAGCCGACUCCCUGCAAGCAGAAAAAAAAUGUCCUUUUUCCAGAAAGAAAAACUCCCAACACACAGACACACAGACACACACACCAUGGCUCUUCUUUGUGUUUGCAUCACCUGGAAAACGAGCAGACAAACAACUCACAGAAAAUUAUAUGUGUGCUUGUCUCCAGGCAAAAAAAUAAAAAUAAAAAUAAAAUUCUCUAUUUCCACUCAGAAAAGUCACUUUUUAAAAAUCAUUGGGCAGAAAUACACCCCCCCCAUCGAGACCACACCAGAUAAAACACACGUCCUCAGAAAACUGUGUGUGUGUAGGAGAAAAAAAAAAAAA
This 2940-nucleotide long non-coding RNA is filed under the name Sus scrofa (pig). Its description in RNAcentral is "lncRNA (ENSSSCG00015001970.1)". The record is from RNAcentral. Lineage: Eukaryota; Metazoa; Chordata; Mammalia; Artiodactyla; Suidae.